CAGUAGCCGCGGUAGUACGUAGGGUGCAAGCGUUAAUCGGAAUUACUGGGCGUAAAGCGUGCGCAGGCGGUUAUAUAAGUCAGAUGUGAAAUUCCCGGGCUCAACCUGGGAACUGCAUUUGAUACGUACGGGCUUGAGUGGAGAAGAGGGUUGUGGAAUUUCCAGUGUAGAGGUGAAAUUCGUAGAUAUUGGAAAGAACACCGGUGGCGAAGGCGGCAACCUGGUCUUUAACUGACGCUGAGGCGCGAAAGCGUGGGGAGCAAACAGGAUUAGAUACCCGAGUAGUCCCUGUCUCUUAUAC
Molecule: ribosomal RNA, 301 nt
Filed under: uncultured bacterium
Lineage: Bacteria
Description: partial 16S ribosomal RNA
Rfam family: Bacterial small subunit ribosomal RNA
Source: RNAcentral